Molecule: ribosomal RNA, 1222 nt
Filed under: metagenome
Description: bacterial SSU rRNA
Rfam family: Bacterial small subunit ribosomal RNA
Source: RNAcentral
AGAGUUUGAUCCUGGCUCAGGAUGAACGCUAGCGGCAGGCCUAACACAUGCAAGUCGAGGGGUAACAGAGAAGCUUGCUUCUGCUGACGACCGGCGCACGGGUGCGUAACGCGUAUAGAGUCUACCUUAUACUGAGGGAUAGCCUUUGGAAACGAAGAUUAAUACCUCAUAGUAUGUUUACUUCGCAUGGAGUUAGCAUUAAAGGUUACGGUAUAAGAUGACUAUGCGUUCUAUUAGCUAGAUGGUGUGGUAACGGCACACCAUGGCAACGAUAGAUAGGGGCCCUGAGAGGGGGAUCCCCCACACUGGUACUGAGACACGGACCAGACUCCUACGGGAGGCAGCAGUGAGGAAUAUUGGACUAUGGAGGCAACUCUGAUCCAGCCAUGCCGCGUGCAGGAAGACUGCCCUAUGGGUUGUAAACUGCUUUUAUACGGGAAGAAACAUCACUACGUGUAGUGACUUGACGGUACCGUAAGAAUAAGGAUCGGCUAACUCCGUGCCAGCAGCCGCGGUAAUACGGAGGAUCCAAGCGUUAUCCGGAAUCAUUGGGUUUAAAGGGUCCGUAGGUGGAUAAUUAAGUCAGAGGUGAAAUCUUGCAGCUCAACUGUAAAAUUGCCUUUGAUACUGGUUAUCUUGAAUUAUUGUGAAGUGGUUAGAAUAUGUAGUGUAGCGGUGAAAUGCAUAGAUAUUACAUAGAAUACCAAUUGCGAAGGCAGAUCACUAACAAUAUAUUGACACUGAUGGACGAAAGCGUGGGGAGCGAACAGGAUUAGAUACCCUGGUAGUCCACGCCGUAAACGAUGGAUACUAGCUGUUCGGAUUUAUCUGAGUGGCUAAGCGAAAGUGAUAAGUAUCCCACCUGGGGAGUACGUUCGCAAGUAUGAAACUCAAAGGAAUUGACGGGGGCCCGCACAAGCGGUGGAGCAUGUGGUUUAAUUCGAUGAUACGCGAGGAACCUUACCAGGGCUUAAAUGUAGAUUGCAUUAGCUAGAGAUAGCUAUUUCUUCGGACUAUCUACAAGGUGCUGCAUGGUUGUCGUCAGCUCGUGCCGUGAGGUGUCAGGUUAAGUCCUAUAACGAGCGCAACCCCUGUUGUUAGUUGCCAGUGAGUCAAGUCGGGAACUCUAACAAGACUGCCAGUGCAAACUGUGAGGAAGGUGGGGAUGACGUCAAAUCAUCACGGCCCUUACGUCCUGGGCUACACACGUGCUACAAUGGUA